GCUUGUAGGUGGCUCGUUGCGUCGGGAGUGAAAACCCGUGGCUUAACCGCGGGCCUGCUUCCGAUACGGGCGAGCUAGAGUUCGGCAGGGGAGACUGGAAUUCCUGGUGUAGCGGUGGAAUGCGCAGAUAUCAGGAGGAACACCGGUGGCGAAGGCGGGUCUCUGGGCCGAUACUGACACUGAGAAGCGAAAGCGUGGGGAGCGAACAGGAUUAGAUACCCUGGUAGUCCACGCCGUAAACGUUGGGAACUAGGUGUGGGGUCCAUUCCACGGGCUCUGUGCCGCAGCUAACGCAUUAAGUUCCCCGCCUGGGGAGUACGGCCGCAAGGCUAAAACUCAAAGGAAUUGACGGGGGCCCGCACAAGCGGCGGAGCAUGUGGCUUAAUUCGAUGCAACGCGAAGAACCUUACCUGGGCUUGACAUGUUCGGUCUACCUGCAGAGAUGUGGGGUGCUUUUGCGCCGUUCACAGGUGGUGCAUGGUUGUCGUCAGCUCGUGUCGUGAGAUGUUGGGUUAAGUCCCGCAACGAGCGCAACCCUCGUUCCAUGUU
Molecule: ribosomal RNA, 549 nt
Filed under: uncultured bacterium
Lineage: Bacteria
Description: bacterial SSU rRNA
Rfam family: Bacterial small subunit ribosomal RNA
Source: RNAcentral